Molecule: unclassified non-coding RNA, 340 nt
Filed under: soil metagenome
Description: partial contains 5.8S ribosomal RNA, internal transcribed spacer 2, and large subunit ribosomal RNA
Rfam family: 5.8S ribosomal RNA (bases 1-120)
Source: RNAcentral
GAUGAAGAACGUAGCGAAAUGCGAUAAGUAGUGUGAAUUGCAGAAUUCAGUGAAUCAUCGAAUCUUUGAACGCACAUUGCGCCCUUUGGUAUUCCUUAGGGCAUGCCUGUUCGAGCGUCAUUUAAACCUUCAAGCUCAGCUUGGUGUUGGGUGACUGUCCGCCGCCUCCGGGCGGUCGGACUCGCCUCAAAUUGAUUGGCGGCCGGUACUUUGGCUUCGAGCGCAGCAGAAACGCGAACUCGAGGCCGUCGUCCUGGCUCCCAGAAGCUAUCUUCACAAUUUUGACCUCGGAUCAGGUAGGGAUACCCGCUGAACUUAAGCAUAUCAAUAAAGCGGAGGA